UUUAGUUUAAGGGCAAUAUUUUCUCAUGUCUGUGCCUGAAGCGGUUCGCGCCCCAUGUUGUCUGUGUCGGAAGUGGCUUUCGUCCGCAAUAACAUGUUGUUCGCGGUACUUCUAUGUGCCCUUUGGUCUCAAUAUAGCACUUCUAAACGCGGUACAUCUGGUGAGGAGCAGCUUUCAUCCGUGUAUGGCGGCGACACCUCUAGUCGUCAUGCAUCUAUUUGCGAGGGGCUUUCAUCCUAGUAUGGUAGUGACGUUGUGGCACUUGUAAACGCCGACUUCUGCCUCGCCGACUUACUACUGAUUUCCAUACACAGCAUUGAUUUUCGAACGUUAAAUUGCUAACUCUUAAAUUUUUUUUUUCAAUUGUCGUAUUAAAAAUACGGGGAUGUGGGUGAAUAUUCACAUUCCAAUACAUUAAAAAAUAAUUUAUUACGCCUUUCAUAAAUAAGAUUUGAAAUGUGUAGAACGACCG
Molecule: long non-coding RNA, 472 nt
Filed under: Androctonus crassicauda
Lineage: Eukaryota; Metazoa; Arthropoda; Arachnida; Scorpiones; Buthidae
Source: RNAcentral